UGGCUGAGCGCCCUGUUCCGUCAC
This 24-nucleotide microRNA is filed under the name Eptesicus fuscus (big brown bat). Its description in RNAcentral is "efu-miR-9266". The record is from miRBase by way of RNAcentral. Lineage: Eukaryota; Metazoa; Chordata; Mammalia; Chiroptera; Vespertilionidae.